RNAcentral lists this long non-coding RNA (18156 nucleotides) under Daucus carota (carrot). RNAcentral's name for it is "long non-coding RNA (DCAR_LNC005628)". Lineage: Eukaryota; Viridiplantae; Streptophyta; Magnoliopsida; Apiales; Apiaceae. The record is from RNAcentral.
UUUACUAGUAUUUUUGUAUUUAUUUUAUAAUGAAUAUUUUACAGUGCUGUUGAAAAAUUUUACUGUAUCGAAGAAAUUUUUUUGGCCCCCCUUACAGAUAUUUGCUGGCUUCGUCCUUAUAAAAGUUAAGCAUGAACAAAAGAAAAGGUGUUUACCAACGGUUGCAGAACUAAAGGUUGUUGCAUCCAUGCCAUCUCCUGUCAACAUUAUAUUUUGCUUGGACUUUCCAAUCUCAACAUUUUCUUUAUUAUAUUUUGCAUUUACUCUGGCGCGGCUGCAACAGCUUCUUUGACAGUCUUGUAAUUGCCACUACCAUCUUUGGCCACCACCACAUUUGCAUUGAUCUCAUUAGGCCUAGACUUUUUGCCUAUAAGUUUUGAAAAAGGAAGCCGACUUUUUUAUCAAGAAAAAUCUAAAUGGCAGCAGAAUUCGGAUUGUGUUUAUUCAUUAUUGCAUUACUAUAACUAUUACUAGUUGGGAAGCCGCGCGUUGCGGCGACCUAUAAAAUUUAUAUUAAUGAUUUGAUAUUAAUAUUUGUAGAAUAAAAUAAAAUUAUGGCGGCCUAUAAGAAUUAUAUUAGUGAUUAGAAUAAAAUAAAUUGUAUAUUAUAAACAUUUCGAUGCAAUUGCAAUAUUAAUAUAUAAAAUUGCAAAAUUGGACUAUAAUGCCUGAGUGAAAACAUGAAAAUAAAUUUCUACAUGUAAUUAACGAGAUAAAGCACAACAAAUCUUAAUUUAAGUUGUGUUUUUUUUUUUUUUGAAAAGUAAUCAUGUUCUCACUAACAUUGUCACACCCUCCAAUUUCUAUGUAUUGGUUGUGCACAGAAACAUCAAUAUACAUGAAAUGACGGUCUAUAAGUACCAUUGUUUGCCUUGUUUGCAACAACCUAUGAUUUUUUAAUACCGUAUAAACAGUCUUCACUUAAAGGGUGCUUGAACCGAGCAAACAGAUAUUGUGAAAGUGUUGCAUGAAUACUAUUUUCAUGUAUACAAAGUAAAUCAUAUAAAAAUUAAGAACAACAAACAUGUCCGAUGAACAAACCAAAUAUUAUAAAAGAAUAAUCAACAAACAUAUAUCACUAGCUAUUAAUUUAUUGACCUUUUCAUCCAUCAAUAUCAUGUCAAGACUAUAUUUUUCUUUCGUGUUUGGAUUUAUCGACUCCCACAUCCGACAAACUCUUACUCCUAUCAGCCAAUUAUCACUAUCGUUAUUCAAAGCAUAUUGCGUGGUGUAACAGUGUAACUCAUUAUUGUAUUAGAUAUAAAAGAUAAAUAGGUACAAAAACAUUAUUUAUGUUAAAUUUUAUGAUGUCUGACCUCAAUUUAUAGGGGUUGAUUUGAGAAAUGACCGGCUUAUCAAAAAUAUUUUCUGUUUUUGAUAUACACCUUUUCCAAAAAUAUGGUAGUCUUGCAAAAGAAGUAAGCCUUUUUUUGUAUCAAAAUAAUUGAAAAGAAUUUUCAAAUUCUGAUUUGAUAUUUAUUAAGAGAGGUAGUUUUUAUUUUUGACAUAUUGCAAAGGUAAUUUUGAAACUUUCUUCUAAUAUAUCUGUACUAAAAAAGGUUUUUAUUUUUUAUACUAAAAAAGGUAGGUAAAUUUGAUUGCUGAUAUUUUUAAAAAGAUAGUUUUGAAACUUGCUUUCAAUAUAUCCGAAACUAAAAAGGUAGUUUUAAUUUUUGAUAUUUUUCAUCCAAAAAUUCCAGAAAAUUAGAAAAAUAGAACGGAGUUAUCUGAGAGGCUCCACCUACACGCCCCAUGCUUCUCCUUUAUAUAAGUACUAGUUGAGAAGCUGCGCGUUGCGGCGGCCUAUAAAAAUUAUAUUAAUGAUUCAAAAUUAAUAUUUGUAGAAUAAAAUAAAUUUUAUAUUAUAAACAUUUUGAUGCAAUACCAAUAUUAAUAUAUAAAAUUACAAAAUUGGACUAAAAUUCAUGAGUGAAAAAAUGAAAAUAAAUUUUUACAUAUAAUUAACGAUCUAAAGCAUGAUGAAUCUUAAUUUUAAUUGUGUUUUUUUAAAAGUAAUCGUGUUUUUCACUAACAUUGUCAUUAAUUUUCAAACACUAUUUCUUAGACAUAUACACCAUGACCUACAUGUAAAAGUUAUACGACUUUUUAACAGAACUGAUUGAAAAAUCAUACGGCUCUUUAAGAGAACUGAUUGAUGACAUUUAGCCAUAUACAUUGAUUGACCAAUAAAACACACAGUAAGCUUGCAAGAACAUAAGUGCGUAAAAGUCAAAAAGAUACUGAGAUGCAACUCCCAAACCAUCCCCAGUUUUAAUAGGGAUAAAUAUUAUGUUCUAGUUAUACGAACAUUAAUUAUGUCAGGACGUUUAAAUUCCAAUCCAUGCAUGUGUAAAUUAGUGACUCCUUCCUCCAAUUUCUUUGGAUUGACUGUCCGCAAAAACAUUAAUUUAAAUUCAUGAGAUAGCAGUCUACUCCCACAUCCGACAAACUCUUACUCUUGUCAAUCAAUCAUCUCUAUCGCCAUUCAAAUAUCAAUAAUAAUAUAACUCAUUAUUGUAUUAGAUGGAGAAGAUAAAUAGGCAAAGAAAAAUUGUUUACAAAGCAUAUUUGCCCAAAACGUGUUACAAUGUCGUUGCAUAACAAUGGCACACCAGCAAGUAGGGUCGCAGUAUUGGGAGAGAGAAGGUUGUGUUUAGAUGAUCCAAAACCCUACGACCUAUAGGCGUAUUUAUAGGUGCAGAGAGACUUGUGUGCUAAUUUUUUCCAUAAUUAAAUAAUCUAAAAUAGAAUCAGAUUAAAAAACUUGCAAGUUACUAUAUUCCAUAAAUAAUCUGAAACAGAAUCAGAUUAAUUUAUGCCAAGAUAUACUUUUUAUUUUUGAUAUUUUUUAUCCAAAAAUUCCAGAAAAUUAGAAAAAUAGGACGUAGCUAUCUGAGAGGCGCCACGUACAUGCCCCUCGCUUCCCCUUUAUAUAAGUAUAUUGAUGACUAGUUGAGAAGCCGCACGUUGCGGCUGCUUAUAAAAAUUAUAUUAAUGAUUCAAAAUUAAUAUUUAUAAAACAGAUUUGCGGCAGCCUAUAAAAAUUAUAUCAAUGAUUCAAAAUUAAUAUUUGUAGAUUGAAAUAAAUUUUAUAUUAUAAACAUCUCGAUGCAAUACCAAUAUUAAUAUAUAAAAUUUCAGAAUUGGACUAUAAUUCAUGAGUGAAAAAAUGAAAAUAAGUUAUACAUGUAAUUAACGAUUAAAAGUAACUUUUCAAUAACUUACUAAUCUGUCACGAUUCUUAUAUCUCUAUUUUUCCAACCGCCACAGAUUAUUUUGAAGCCACCCACGUAUAUCAAGCAGGCAACGACAUAUAUAUACAUAGAGAUAUAAAUAUUAUUAUAUAAAUCAUGGAGUUUAGGAUCUUGUAAGUGUGUGUAGAUAAUAUUUUGUAUGAGUAAAAAAUACCCAAGAGUAUAUCCUUGUCCUUAAUAUACGUACAUUAAUCAUGUCAGGAUGUAUGAACUUAAAUUUAUGCAGAGGUAUAUUAGUGACUCCUUUCGCCAAUUUCUUUGGAUUGGUUGUCCGCAGAAAUAUCAAUCUAAAUCCAUGAGAUAGCGGUCUAUAACUACUAUCAAACAAGUACCUUGAAAUAUAAGUUAGUAAAAAUAUUAUUUAUAAAGUUUUACACAUUAUUUUUGAAUGUUACCAAAACCAAGUAAAAGGUUAUGACUUCUAAUAUUUACGAUAAUAUAUUUAAAUUUUAUCAAAUUUAUUUAUUAUUUAUUUUUAAUUAAAACAAAGAAAAUAACUAUAUAAUAAAAUAUAAAUAAUAAAUAAACUUGAUAAAAUAUAAAUAUAUUAUUUUAAAUACUAGAAGUCAUAACCUUUAAGUUGGUUGUGGUAACAUUUAAAAAUAAUGUGUAAAACUUUAUAAAUAAUAUUUUUACUGCUUGAACUUAUAUUUCAAUGUACCCAUUUGAUAUUUAUGGUCAAUUCAGUGAUCAUCUUGAUACCGUUUUGAGUUCAGUAUCAUCUUGAUACCGUUUUGAGUUCAGUGACCAACUUGAUACAUUAAGCCCACUUCAGUGACCAACUUGAUAAUCAACCUUUUUUUUAAUAUUGUAUAAACAGCCUUCACUUAAAAGGUUUUUGAACCGACCAAACCUAUAUUGUCGAAGUGUUGCAUGAAUAAUAUUUACCAGUAUACAAAGUAAACCAUAUAAAAAUUAACAACAAACAUGUUCGAUGAACAAAACAAAUAUUAUAAAAGAAUAACCAACAAACAUAUAUCACCAAAAGUUAAUUUAUUGACUUUUUAAUCAAUCAAUAUUAUGUUAAGACUAUAUUCUUCUCCCGUAUUUGGAUUUUGUCGACUCUCGCAUUCGACAAACUCUUACUCUUAUCAGUCAAUCAUCUCUAUCGUCCUUCAAAGCAUCUAGCUGACAAGGCUGUCGCGUGCCUAUCAAAUAAUAAAAUAUCUAACUGAACCUCCUAACUAUGUAGUAGGGUAAGUCAGAGUCGAUGCCACAGAGACAAACGUAUCAAACACUAGUUAUUCCCGAUUCAAUCCAACUAACAAGUAACACAAUAAAAAUUGGGAGAUUAUUAAACUAAUAUUAUCCUAAUACAAAUAAAAUCUAGAAUACAAUCAAAUAAAAAUAACUAGAAUCAAGUAUCAUCACUAGCAUGAAUUAAUGCAAUUAUGAUUUUCUCCCCCAAUUAAUCAGAUAAUUUACUCAAGAGGAAAGAUGCGCCCUAUAAAAUACCAUUAACCUCUUUCGAGUAUUAAUGGCUUCUCUAAAAUACAAUCAAACCUAUUUUCAUGGUAUCAUUAUUGGAUAAAUCACAACCAUCUAAAUCCAACUUCCGAUGGUAGAUAGAUAUCGGUUCAAACAAUAUACAUAAUCACGUCUGACCUGUUAUUGUUAAUCAGCACAACUCAAUAAGUAAGAGCAAAUAACCUCAUCAACUAGAGAUCAUCAAAAAUCAUGCAUCAACCACAACUAGAGUUCAACUCAAUUCUAGAAUACAAUCUACUCUAGCAUAAUAAAUAUAAAAGAAAAUAAAGAUGGGUUAUACAAUGAAUUCUUCAAUCCCGAAGUCUUGAAGAAGAAGAAGAAGAGACAAAGUGUUUUAAUCUAACCUCAUUAUACAAUACCAUCCUCCUCUUCUAAUGUCUAUCUUUAUAAAUAUAUAUGAUUUUAAUGCUUACAAGGAAAUACAAAACAGUUUCCCAAACAAAAUUGGAAUCUUCAAGGAGAAUUCGCAGCUCUGUUUUCUGCCCUGUUUCUGGGCUUUUCCAGUUGGAUUUUUGAUAUUGGACCAUCUCUGAAUAAAACAAAAAUUCUCUUAGCUUCGUGUGGGCUGUAAGAUCACCCAAUUCUGACUUCUAUAACUCAAGAUAUGGCCCAAACAGUGAGUCAAGUGCAAGCAAUCCAACAAAUCCGAAUUUCCUUCAAAUUAAUCACCAAAUUAAGCUUUUUAUUCCAAUUUCUUCCAAGUUUAGGAACUCCUUACCUCCUGCAAUAAAACAUUAAAAUCUAUUAAAUAAAUAUCCAAUUCAAUGCAAAAUACAAUUAAUAUGAGAAUAAAAUCAUCUAGAAUAUAUGUAAAUAUAUACCCUAUCACUAGCAUAGUGCGAUUCAUUAUUGAAUUAGAUGGAAAACAUAAAUAGGCACGAAAAAUUGUUAAUGUUAGAUUUUAUGAUGUUUUUGUUAUAAAAAUAUUUUUGUUUUGGAAGAAAAGUAAGUUUUUUUUUGUAUCAAAAUAAUUGAAAAAAAAUUCAAAUUCUGUUUUGAUAUUUAUUAAGUUAGGUAGUGUUUAUUUUUGAUAUAUUGAAAAAGAUAGUUUUGAAACUUUCUUCUGAUAUAUUGGGAAUUACAAAAGGUAAUUUUUAUUUUUGAUAUUUUUAAAAUUAAAACAUAAUUUGAGACUUCUUCCUAUUUGACACUGAAAAAGAUAAGUAGAUUUUAUUUUUGAUAUUUGAAAAAAGGUAGUUACAUGUGGGUUGUUGUAAAGUGUACAUGCAACGGUAAGGUGUAAAGUGAACGAAUUUAAUUUAUAAAUAAUAAAUUAAAAUUUGAAAUUAUGAUUUGUUUGUAAGUCAGAACUGUUAUAAAAAUAUAUAACUUUUAUAUGAUGUUGGCAUAAUUUAAAAUUUUAUCUUAAAUUUUAGUCAAAUCUAAUCCAAAAUAUUAGUUUUGCAUGAUUUAGCAAUUAUGAGUAACUUAAUCUAACAUAUUUGUCUUUAAUAAUAAAAAUAUUUAAUAGCACGAUGAUGCAUAUUUGUAUAUUAUUUUUUGUCUUUCUUUUUUAAUAUAUAUACUUGAAUAUAAAUAUUUAUUUUAAAAAUAUUUUUAUGUUAAAUUAUUAAUCUUUAUAUAAAUAUAUUCGUUAAUAAUUUGAAUAAGAUGCAUGCAAUUAGAAGGCAUAAUUUGUCUUGGAUUAGGAAAACGUGUUAAAAAUAUGGGUUUUACUUUUCACACUUGUUUUUGUCAAAAAAAAUAAAAAAGCCUUGUCACACGUGUGGAUCAUUCCAUAGGGCAUAAGAAAGUGCAGUUUGUGCAUGAUCUAAAGAUGUUCAAGUUUAAUCGUGGAAUAAAGUGGAACAUUGAAAUAUGUCUUAAGGAGGCAGGUGUGUUUAAAUCUUGGAAAGACAAUGUUCCCGAGGGUAUAUAUAAGAAGAUUUUGAACUAUCAUCAGUCAACAACCUCAAAAGCUGAAGUAGAAGUUCAAGAUAAAGCUAAAGCUGGAGACAGUUAUGAAGCCAAAGUUGAAGAUAAAGAUGGAGAUGGUUCUGCAUUUGUAGAAGUUCAAAGUUUCUUAUAUUAAACCACUUACUUUCUGCAAUAUAAUUCUGCACACACCUUAUAUUACAAAUUCUUGCAUAUUAUUUACAAGAUGCUGAGUAGGAUCUACUAAUUCACAUUAAAUUCUAUUAGUACUAGCUGAAUCUUCAUUUCUGAUAAUGUUCUAGGUCCUCUAUUUCUUUUUAGGUGGCAUGCUCAUGAGAUUAUAAGAUACUAGUAUGUUGCCAAUUCGCAUUGGACUGAAUUUUAAAGUAUCUGAAAAUUAAUAGAUUUAAUUCAAGUUAUAUUUUAAUUAUAAAAAUAAUAUUGUUAGCAACCGAGUGUGAAAAUAAAUUUGCCCAAUCCAUUAUGCUAUACUAAUACGCACUACCAUACUUAUUAUAUGAUUAUAAAAGAACAACAUAAAAAUAUGUAAGGUCAAUAAACAAAUAUAACAAAACUCUAAUUUUGUCAGUUAAAGCGGUAACGGUAAAACGAAUAUUUUUUUAACUAUGAAUUUGGUGAAAAUUAGUAAAAUUAGUUCUAAUUUUGUCAGUUGCAAUGGUAAUACUAGAACGAAUAUAUUUAAUUGUGAAUUUGGUGAAGACUAGACUACGUAAGUAAUAUGUUAAAAAUAAUAAUUUUAUUCAUGUGUUUCAUUUUAGACCUCUAACAAUUGCUAAUGUCAUUAAUUUAAUAUACAUAGAGGCUCCAAACAAUUUAGAAUUGAGAGGUUGUAAGCUAAGUGUGAAAAAACGGUUGAAUGAGCGCGCAACCAAUCUGGUUUACACAGGUAAAUUGCUUGUUUUUAAAUUGUCUAUCUUUAUUAUUUACGUCAAUGUUUAAUUUAAGUUCCAUUAUUUUCUUUAUUUGAUGAUGUUCAACAUCACGGUGUUAAUGUCAAAGGACACUUGAUGUACCAGACCAUCAGACACAAUAUUUACAAUGGUAAGAUUCAUCGUCCCAACUUGAUCCUGGAAGUUGCUUCCACCUCAGCUAUAAUUGUAGAUUCUCUAAAAUUUGAUGAUAAAGUUUGAACUUGAAAGUUCGUUUCUUUCUUCUUUAGUAGUUUCUCCCUUCAUUCUUUAUGAUGGACUUCUGAUUAUUAAGAUUGUUGUUAGCUUGUUGUUAUAAAUUGUAAUUAGAUGUUGAAACAUGAGUUUGUUAUUGAAUUGGUCAUUUUGUCAGUUGCAACGGUAAAGAUAGAAUGAAUAUAUUUUUUAUUAUGAAUUUAGUGAAGACUAAUGAAAUUAGCCCUAAUUUUGGCAGUUUUAACGAUAACGGCAGUACGAAUUAGUUUGACUUUGAAUUUGGUGAAUGCUAGACUACGUAAUCAUUUAGUAGGUUGAACUCGGUAUCACAUAGAAGGUUGAAUGUUGGCUGGUUCUAGUAAUCAUAUUGGGUGCUAUGCACAUAUUGUUCUCCUACAUUACUUUUGAGUGCAGAAGACAUUUGGCUAUGUUUCUCCUACCUGUUUUCGAGGAUAACAUUGUGGAGCCCCAUGAAAAAAAUAGAGAUUAGAAUUGUGGGAGCAAUCUCUUGAAUAUAUUAUCGAGGCGGGAACAGAUACACUCCAAGCUGGUUUAUCACUGAAGUUCAAAGAUGAGUAAGCUAUUGGGUCUGGGUUUAGAAAUGAAUGGUUUGAUUUAGUUUGCAAAAAGCCCUUUGUUUCUCGACUUGUUUCGAGCUUGUCUGGACGAUCGUAGAAGAAUCUUUCCGAAGUCAAGUAUCUUUUGUCAACACUUUUGAUUUACAAUUUUUAUGUACAACAAAGUCACUCUAUUACAUAUAGAUUUUAAAAUAACUUAGCAAAUAGCCAGUUGUCUUUCAUAAUUACCUUGUAUAUACUGUUAAAAUUGCUAAAAUUAGGACAUUAAUUAGGAAGGAACCAGACUAACUGAAGAAAGAAUAAAUAAAAUGAAACUAAUAUCACUGAAAGAGAAUGGUGUUUAUGCUCGAUUAGUGCGCCUUCCAACCUGGAGAGCAAGCUCUGUGUCUAUCUUAAGGGAGAUGUCGAGAGCAUUUACAGAAUGUGUCAGUGCACCACUGCAAAUAAAACAAUUGAACUUUGUUAAGCAGCUUAUAACAUAAUUUUCUAUUAUUAAUAUAUUAGUACAAGUAAUAGUGUAAACAUAAUAAGUAAAACCAUAUAUUGUACCUCCAAACUAAAAUAGAAGGGUAUUCAGGGUAUUACACUAUUUUAGGCUAGUGGGAGAAGAUUUUUUUAUUGGGGAACAAAAACCAGAACUUUGAUGACAGGGGUGGACUCCUUGCUGGACUGAAGCCUUAAGUUUUACAAACUUUACCACUAAGACUAGAAUGGAUAUAGAUUCAGCCCAGGUAAGAAUUAUGAAACCCUGGUAUAUAUGGUCCAUUCAAUUGUUGGUUGGUCCUGAAGAAGUAUAAGUAAUAAGAUAAUGACCAUGCAUACAAGGCAGACCCAUGACUUCCAACAUAACUGGGCUAAAAUUGUUUUUACACAAUACAAAUUAUUCACACUCACGCUAUACCAAUUCUACACAAGACUACAAAUAAUUCACAUAGGAGCACAUGAUAUAGAUUUAUUUAACCACAUUUUGGUCGGGGACGGACCCAGGACGUCCAACUUACCUUAUCAUAAACAUUUAUACACAAGACUUCAAAUAAUUCACAGUAUAUUAGAGGGAGCACAUAAUAUAACAAAUGUUAAUCGACAUAUAUACUUUUUUUUUUUUUUUGAAUAAUCGACAUAUAUACUUAAUACUAUCUAUACUAUAAUAAUUUGAAACAGUAAAGUUUGGUCACAAAUUUUUUGUCAUUACUAAAUUACCUUUUUUUUCUAUCUUUUCCAAAAAAACAAAUAUAAACAGUUAUAUAAACAAUGAGAAAGAGACCAACAUGUAUGUUCUAAUUAUAAUGUGUUCCAUACUGUAAAAUAACAAGCGAAUAUUGAGAUAAUUUGUAGUAGUAAAGUUUGGUCACAUAUUUUUUGUCUUUACUAAAUUACCAUUUUCUCUGUCUUUCUGAGAAAGAAAAUAUAAACAAUUAUUAUAUUAAUAAUGAGAUCAACAUGUCUCUUUAAUUAUAACGUGUUCUACUCAAAAAUAAACACGAACCAUCAUGUAACCCUUGACUCUAAAUUGUACUACUUCAAGGCAAAUACGAACCAUCAUGCAACUCUUUUUUUAAAAGACAAACAUAAAACCAAUACAAGAUAAAUAAUAUCUUUUUACUUACAAGGGUCCGGGUCCCUAACAAUCAUUUGUUAGGGGCUAUUUAAACAACAAUAACCUUCACAGUCAUUGGAUCAACUAAUUGACGAUCAGGAUUUUAAUUUUUUUACAUCUUUCCGCACCUUUUUUCCGCGAAUAGAUAUCAUUCCGCGCUACUUUACGCGGAUCAAGAAAUUACAUUUUUAGCCCUUAAAAUCUUCCGUGCUAAACAAUCACGGAUAGAAUUUGCAGCUGCAAACCAUUGGCGUCCCCCUUGUCUGUUGCCGAGAGAUGUAAUUUUUACAAAAUGGACAAGAGAGAGGUAAGGAAUGUAUGUAGAUAUGUGCGUGUGUAUAUAAAGGGUAAUGAAAAGAGAGAGAAGAGACUAGACAAAGGAAAAGUUUUCUUAAAAUUUGUGCGAAACAAUAAAUUUGAGCUGCUUGGAUAUGUAUACCGACAUCUUCACUUUUGUUUUCAUAACCAAAAUUUUUCAAAAUUUGAUUUUGAUAAUAUAUGUUAUUUUAAUCUCUGGUUUCAACCUAAUUGCUGGAUUUUUGGUCAUUCUUUGAAUUUGCAAAACUAAAAUAAUUAAUUUAUGUAAACUAAAUGUACUUACAAUUAUGUAAGUCUAAAUGUAAAGACAACCCUAUCUGUUACAUAGGGAUUUAAUAGAAAAUCUAAUAUGGACUUGUGUUUUUUUAUGAACAUGAAAACUUGAAAAAGAACAAGAAAAGUAGGAUGAUUUAUUUCACUAAUUACAGUAAUAAUAAAAUUUAAUAUUUUCAUUGUUCUUGCAGUUGCAAGUUGUAAAGCUUUUCCGUGAUACUGUAGCAGAUAUUGCUCUGUGUUUUUUAUUCAAAAUUAAUAUUUGUAGAUUGAAAUAAAUUUUAUAUUAAAAACAUCUCGAUGCAAUACAAAUAUUAAUAUAUAAAAUUGCAGAAUUGGACUAUAAUUCAUGAGUGAAAAAAUGAAAAUAAGUUUAUACAUGUAAUUAACGAUUAAAAGUAAUUUUUCAAUAACUUACUAAUCUUUCACGAUUCUUAGAUCUCUAUUUUUCCAACCGCCACAUAUUAUUUUGAAGCCACCCACGUAUAUCAAGUAGGCAACGACAUAUAUAUAUACAUAGAGAUAAAAAUUUUAUUAUAUAAAUCAUGGAGUUUAGGAUAAUUGUAAGUGUGUGCAGAUAAUAUUUUGUAUGGGUAAAAAAAUACCCAAGAGUAUAUCCUUGUCCUUAAUAUACGUACAUUAAUCAUGUCGGGACGUAUGAACUUAAAUCCAUGCAGAGGUAUAUUAGUGACUCCUUUCGCCAAUUUCUUUGGAUUGGUUGUCCGCAAAAAUAUCAAUCUAAAUCCAUGAGAUAGCGGUCUAUAACUACCUUUGCUUGCAACAACCUUUAUUUUUUAAUGGGUUAAUUAUCUAGUUGGUCACUAAAGUGGGCUUAAUGUAUCAAAUUGGUCACUGAAGUCAAAACGGUAACAAGAUGGUCACUGAAGUGGCCAUAAAUAUCAAAUAGGUACCUUAAAAUAUAAGUUCAAGCAGUAAAAAUAUUAUUUAUAAAGUUUUACACAUUAUUUUUGAAUGUUACCAAAACCAAGUAAAAGGUUAUGACUUCUAAUAUUUACGAUAAUAUAUUUAAAUUUUAUCAAAUUUAUUUAUUAUUUAUUUUUAAUUAAAACAAAGAAAAUAACUAUAUAAUAAAAUAUAAAUAAUAAAUAAACUUGAUAAAAUAUAAAUAUAUUAUUUUAAAUACUAGAAGUCAUAACCUUUUAGUUGGUGGUGGUAACAUUUAAAAAUAAUGUGUAAAACUUUAUAAAUAAUAUUUUUACUACUUGAACUCAUAUUUCAAGGUACUUGUUUGAUAUUUAUGGUGACUUUAGUAACCAUUUUGAUACCGUUUUGAAUUCAGUGACCAACUUGAUACAUUAAGCCCACUUCAGUGACCAACUUGAUAAUCAACCCUAUUUUUAAUAUUGUAUAAACAACCCUCACUUAAAAGGUUUUUGAACCGACCAAACCUAUACUGUCGAAGUGUUGCAUGAAUAAUAUUUUCCAGUAUACAAAGUAAACCAUAUAAAAAUUAUCAACAAAAAUGUUCGAUGAACAAAACAAAUAUUAUAAAAGAAUAACCAACAAACUUAUAUCACCAAAAGUUAAUUUAUUGACUUUUUAAUCAAUCAAUAUUAUGUUAAGACUAUAUUCUUCUCCCGUAUUUGGAUUUUGUCGACUCUCGCAUUCGACAAACUCUUACUCUUAUCAGUCAAUCAUCUCUAUCGUCCUUCAAAGCAUCUAGCAUAGUGCGAUUCAUUAUUGAAUUAGAUGGAAAAGAUAAAUAGGCACGAAAAAUUGUUAAUGUUAGAUUUUAUGAUGUUUGACCUCAAUUUAUAGGGGUUGAUUUGAGAAAAGACCGGCUCAUCAAAAAUAUUUUCUGUUUUUGUUAUACAUCUUUUCCAAAAAUAUGGUCAUAGUUUUGGAAGAAAAGUAAGUCUUUUUCGGUAUCAAAAUAAUUGAAAAGAAAUUUCAAAUUCUGUUUUGAUAUUUAUUAAGUUAGGUGGUGUUUAUUUUUGAUAUAUUGAAAAAGAUACUCCCUCCGUUUCAUAAUACAUGUCCACUGUUGAACAAAUCCCACAUAUUAAGAAAAACUAACUUUUGUAAAAAAAACCUUCAUUUAUUAUUGUAUUUAUUGCAUUGACUAAGUAUAAUAUGUGGGAUAUAUUUGAUCUAGGUAAUAUAAUUUAGUAGGAUGUGGUAUAAACUUCAUCUAGGAAAUACAACUAUUGACUACAUUGCAUUGAAAGUUGAAAUGUGACAACUAAUUUGAAACAAUUUUUAGUUAAGUGGACAUGUAAUAUGAAACAGAGGGAGUAGUUUUGAAACUUUCUUCUGAUAUAUUGAGAAUUACAAAAGGUAAUUUUUAUUUUUGAUAUUUUUAAAAUUAAAACAUAAUUUGAGACUUAUCUAAUUUGAUACUGAAAAAGAUAAGUAGAUUUUAUUUUUGAUACUUGAAAAAAGGUAGUUCUGAAAUUUGCUUCCAAUAUAUCCGAAACUAAAAAUAGUAGUUUUCAAUUUUGAUAUUUUUCAUCCAAAAAUUCCAGAUUUUGAAAAUGGCAGUUCUGAAACUUGCUUUCAAUAUAUCCGAAAAUAAAAAUGUAGUAUUUAUUUUUGAUAUGUUUCAUCGAAAAAUUUCAAAAAUUUGAAAAUUAGAACGGAGUUACGUGAGAGGCGCCACCUACACGCCCCUCGCUUCUCCUUUAUAUAAGUAUAUUGAUAUUGAUGAUUGAUUUAUAUAUGUGUACGUAUUUUUUCUUCUAACAGUGCCUCCUUAGUUCACUAGUUUUUUUUUGACUUAAUUACCGAAAAAUCUAUUAAACUAUUGUGAUUUUUUCAUUUUAACCAUAUAUCUAAUUUUGUUUCAGAAAAAUGUAACUAACUAAUAGAAAAUGUAUUUGAGAGAACCCAAUUUGAAAAUAUUUCUAACCAUGGUUAAAUGGAUGUCCUACGCAACAUUAUUAAAAUAUCAUUUUUUUAUAAUUUUAAUUUAAAUAUUUACAUAAUCUAUUAUACACACACCAAACAAUCAGUUUUUUUUUAAGUAGGAAACCGUAGCCGCACCACCGCAUUUAAGCGACAGGGCUUUGGUCCAGGAAGCAUUAUCACAAAAUUCUGCUCCCUUCGGAAGGUUCAGUUGAACCUGUGAUCAAAAAGAUACAAGUCCCCUCUUUAACUAACUGAACCAACCCUUUAACUAACUGAACAAACCCGUGCGGGCAAUUUUUAUUUGAAUUGUCAGGGUUCGUCAAAAUAUAAUUUUAAAUUAUUAUCGGAUAAAUAAUUAAUUUAAUUUAGUUUACAUUUUAUUUUGAUUAGUAAGAAUUUAAUCUUAUUUUAAAAAAUACACACACACGCAUUAAUAUUGUUGAAGAAUUAUAUUUAUUAUCGAAAAUUAUAGCAUUUAAAUUGUUUGUUUUUUCAUAUGAAUAUUAGUUCAAUAAAGUUUUAUUGUCCAAACAAAUUAUUAACAAAAUGCAUAAAGAAUAAUUAUAAUAUUUAUUAAAAAUCAUCUAAAAACCACGCAGAAAUCUCAAAAUACCAAUAUAUAUUAUAUGUGCUUGUGUAGGUUGUAUCCGAACAAAACACAAUUAUCAUAUCCAUGCUGCAGUAAUAUAUCGACAAAAUUAGUAACAAUGAUUAAAAGAGCGAUCAAGAGUUCAAAUAAAUUUAUAAAUUCGAUACAAAUAUCAUAAAUCACAUGAAAAAUUAUCGAUACAAUUAUACACAUGUAGCCAGUAGGCUAUAGGUGUUUCAUAAAAAUCAUGCUAACAUUUUCCUCUGCCUUCGAACAUAAAUUAUGAUUCGCUCUAUAUUUGUGCAAAAUAUGAAUUAGGAUUUUGACCUUUUAACUCAAUAGUAAAAAAUUAAUAAAAUUCAUAUACUAAUUAAUAUAUAACUUGACAAUAUAUGUGGCAUAGAUCUCAAUCAAUAUACUUAUAUAAAGGAGAAGCAAGGGGCGUGUAGGUGGCGCCUCUCACAUCGCUCCGUUCUCUUUUUUUUUAAUUUUCUGGAAUUUUUGGAUGAAAAAUAUCAAAAAUUAGAACUACCUUUUUUAGUUUCGGGUAUAUUAGAAGCAAGUUUCAAAAUCUGAUUUUGUUUCAGAUUAUUUAUGGAAUAUAGUAACUUGAAAGUGUUAAUCUGAUUUUGUUUCAGAUUAUUUAUGGAAUAUAGUAGCUUGAAAGUUUUAAUCUGAUUUUUUUUCAGAUUAUUUAAUUAUGGGAAUAGAUCAUCUAAAUAUAACCUCCUCUCUCUCAAUAUCACAACCCUACCUCUCUCUGGUGAAAGUUCUUUUGCUCGGUUUCUAACUCGGUGGUGCCGUUCUUCUGCAACGAUAAGUGAAGGUUGUUUAUUAAAAAAAAAUAAAGGUUGUUGUAGUAAAGGUUGUUAUAAGUAAAGGUAGUUAUAGACCGCUAUGUUCGAGUCGACAAAUCCAAACACGGGAAAAGAAUAUAGUCCUGACAUGAUAUUGAUGGAUGAUAUCAAUAAAUUAACUGUUAGUGAUGUGCGUUAGUUGGUUAUUAUUUUAUAAUAUUUGUUUUGUUUUUCGGACAUGUUUGUUGUUAAUUUUUAUAUGAUUUACUUUGUAUACAGGAAAAAAAUUAUUCAUGUAUUAUAUGUUUGCCCCGUUCAAGCAACUUUUAAGUGAAGACUGUUUAUACAAGCAAGGGUAGUUAUAGACCGCUAUCUCACGGAUUUAGAUGUUUUUGUGCACAAUUAAUCCAAAAAAAUUGGAGUAAGGUGAGAAUGUAAGAACAUAAUUACUUUUCAAAAAAAAAACACAAAUAAAAUUAAGAUUCGUCGUGCUUUAAAUUGUUAAUUAUGUGUAUAAUUUUUUUUUUAUUUUUUCUCCAUGAAUUAUAGUCCAAUUUGCAAUUUUAUAUAUUAGUAUUGGUAUUAUAUCAAGAUUUUUAUAAUAUAAAAUUUAUUUUAUCUUACAAAUAUUAAUUUUAAAACAUUAAUAUACUUUUUAUAGACAGCCACAAAAUUAUUUUAUACUACAAAUAUUAAUAUUAAAUCAUUAAUAUAAUUUUUAUAGGUCGCCGCAACGCACGAUUUCUCAACUAGUUUUAACUUAACCAUGGUUAUGGAUCAGUGAUAUUGGGUUUUCUAAAUAUAAUUUUUUAAAGUUACUUGCAUUAUCCCGUAAUAAAUAUACUAUUAUGAACUUAUGGUUAAAUUGAAAAAAACAUGAUAGUUGUAUAGUUUUUUUUGGUAAUUGAGUCUUUUUUUUUGUUUGUUCACUAUUCUUAAUUAAUUAGAUCACAAAUUAAUUAAGGAUGUUAUUGAUUCUACUCGAGAUCUCCUGCACAAACAAGGAAAGACAAAUUAUAUCGAGACGUUUGGGCUAAAAAGCUUUCAAAACAUCCUCACUUACAAUCCUAAGUUGUUUAGAGGCCUCGGUUUUCUUGCUUGUCACAUAGCUCAUCUGUGUCGACAUGGGCACGGCGCCUUAAUUUUCCCUUAAUUUCGCUUAAUUAAUGAUGUUAAAAAAAAUAACUUCAGAAAAUAACAAUUAUAAAUACAAACUCAGCACUGUGAUUCAUAAGAUAUUAAAAUAAUUAAUAUUAACAAGGAAAACUUACUCUUGUAUCUUCUCACAAUACAAGAUUACAUGGAAGAAUUUACAAAAUUUAAAUAUACAGGACUCCUCAAACUUUACAUUUCAUCCUUAUGCAAGGCCUUUACUAUCUUAGCUGGAGGCUGUGAUGCUGCUGGAGUAGUUGAAGGCUGUGAUGCAUCAGGACCUGAAGGGUGAGGCCCUGUUGGAUCUGAAGGGUGAGGCGUCGUCGAAGGCUGUGGAUCUGAAGGGUGAGGCGUCGUUGAAGGCUGUGGAUCUGUAGGGUGAGGCGUCGUACAAGGCUGUGGAUCUGAAGGGUGAGGCGUCGUCGAAGGCUGUGGAUCUGAAGGCUGUGGACCUAUAUGGGAAGGCGGCGAGGGACUUGGAACACCAUAUAACGUGCCACCAGUUUCCGGUCCUCUUUGAAAACCAGUCAUCUAAAAUUUUAACCCGAACACAACACAGAUUCCAUGUUAAUAUUCAAAAAUAAAAAUAAAAUGGCAUCUGAAAAUAAUUUACUCACCCAACUUGGUGCAAAAUUAGACGGACCACCACCGCCAGCACCUUCAUGAGCUUUACACCCCAAGAUUGGGAAAAAUAAUAACCACAUGAUGCCUAAUGUCGCAGCCGUAAACUCCAUCUUUAAAAAUUUGUUCUUAAUUUUAUUAUGAGAAUGUAAUCACAUUAUGAUGAUAAUGUCAAGGUGGGAUUUGUAAGACCAAAAUUUCGAUAUGGUUGAAUGGUGGAUAUCGAGAGGACUGAGGAUAUAUUGCAGAAUAUGAAUUGAGGUGUGUGAAAUAGUUAAGACCAAGUCAGGUGAAAUACCAACCUCUUAUGUAACCGGAUUAUUUGGAGGGGCAAACUUCCAACUGUCAUGAAAUGAUUUUCUUGUUUGUUUUUCAUCUGACAAUUUCAAAAUUAUUAUUUCGAUUUAUUAGUUCAGACAAGGGACAAGCUACAAACCAAACAAACCAAACAUUACCUAGCUAGAUUACGAAAAUUAGACUAAAUGCAAAUCUGAAUCCUAAUUUAGAGGCCUUCAGUGUAGGUUACUCCAGUGGACUUCAACCAAGAUCCUCCUUGGAUCAACUGCGCCACGGUAAAUUUAGAUGCUUCGGUUGAACUGGUGAUGACAUGGUAUCCAGGCCAUUUCACACGACCUGCGGUUCCAGCACCAGGUCCUUGGUUCAGGUACUCACCAUAGUACAAUGUUUUUAAUGCAAAAUCUUUAUCCCAUUCAGCCCAACCUGCAGGAUCAAUGUGAUCACCAAUUUUUGACUGCAUGAAAACAGUUGUGGAGAACUCUUUCCAUGGCCGGCCCAAGUAUGUUUUUAUGGAUCCUCUCACAGGGUACAGGUCCGUGCUUGCAUAAACGUCGCAGUUCUGGAUUGAUGUUCCUGUGUUCUGGUUUAUGUCAGGCCGCCGUUGGGCAGUUAGCAUGUUCUUUUGAUUAGCCAUGGGCUUACGAGCCACGAUUUUUGAAUUCUGAAAGACAACGGCAGCAUUACCAAAGAUGAAAUCCACUGUGCCAGUUAUAUAGCAGUCUCUGUAGCACUGGCGUUGGUUGUGAGUGUAGAGGGUGUCUUGGUAUGCAUCAAUUCGACAACGGUUGAUUACAGAUUGAUCUGCUCCGACUCGCAGGGCGACAGCUUGGUGCUUUUCAGGCCCAGCCGUGUUCUGGAGCCCGAUAUCUUGUGCCAUGAAUCCAAAUCCAACAGCAGCUGCAAUGCCAAAUAUAACCAACAGUCAAAAACUUUGAAAUGUGAUAUAUUCCAAGUGGAUGUGCGAGAAAACAUCUUGUUUAAUCAAAUUUUUAUGUCAAUGUAUGAGUAGAUCUACAACAGGGGAUGUUAAUAAGGUCCUAGAACGCUUAUAAAUUAUUAGUUGUUUUUUUUGAAAUUCGCUUGCUCCCACAAAUUGAAAAGAAUUUUAGAUCUGUCCCUGCAAUGGGGCAGACUAAAUGAAAAACAAGCAUGAACGGAAGGAAAAAUGUUUACCAACGGUUGCAGAACUAAAGGUUGUUGCUCCGUCUAUCACAUUUAAGCUACCAGUGAUAAUAGUUGCAUCCAUGCCAUCUCCUGUCAACAUUAUAUUUUGCUUGGACUUUCCAAUCUCGAAAUUUUCUUUG